This 240-nucleotide ribosomal RNA is filed under the name uncultured bacterium. Its description in RNAcentral is "partial 16S ribosomal RNA". It matches the Rfam family "Bacterial small subunit ribosomal RNA", at positions 118 to 353 of the family's 1533-position model. The record is from RNAcentral.
UGAGGAACAUGACUUUCGGCGGGGGAUAGCCGGCCCAACGGCCGGGUAAUACCGCGUACGACCUUUUGGGGACAUCCCUGAUUGGUGAAAGCAGCAAUGCGCCGAAAGAGUGCCUCGCGGCCUAUCAGCUAGUUGGUGAGGUAACGGCUCACCAAGGCAACGACGGGUAGCUGGUCUGAGAGGAUGGCCAGCCACAUUGGGACUGAGACACGGCCCAGACCUCCGUACGGGGAGGNAGCG